CUAGGUAAACUCGUGUGCUCACUCAAGGCUCAUGCUUCAUCUCAGUGCCCUGGAUUUCACAGCAGACAAUGAGUGGCCAGCUGAAGUUUAGAAUGAAAUGAACGGCGUGAGGAAAAGAAGGAGCAGAGCGAGUCUUUACCUUGGUAGAGCCUAACUCUAUAUCCAGCUUGAAGUGUGAUUUGGACAAGAGGAAUAAUUGUGUGCUGCUGGAGAUGAAGUGUAGUUCUAACUCAACAAGCUGAAUCCAUAAAAAGCAGGAUGCUAUUCUUGGAAUGUAGAUGCCUGCACAGUUCAAACAAUGCCGGAUUUCCAUGGGGAAGUUAUCAUCAUAGAACUGGUCGACCUGCUCCAAAAACUUUAUUUCCAGUUGUUGAACUUGACUCCACUGGGACAUGCUGCAAAAGAAAUGAUUAAACUUGUUUGAAAAUAGCAACGUAUCAGCAAUACAAAGGCACUAUCAGAUCUCCUAUAUUGCACUGGAGGAUGCACUGAGAUAAACCCAUGUACUUUUGUACUGCACUGAGAGAUAAACACUGCCUCAAGGCAAUGCUGGGUUGUGGUUCUAGCUGUGUCAUCUGCAGAAAAAGUCAGCAAUAGCUUUGGAAACAGUUACGACCUGUGCCACCACCACGACAUUCCCUAUGGUCCCCCUGGUAGAUAAAUCUCACCUGACUCCCCUGAUGGAGUGGCCCAGCGGUGCAGGAGCAGUGGGGAGCCCCAGGACCAUGAGACCCCCAAAUCCAGGUGGCAUGGAGAGGGAAUUGGAAGUGAUGAGAGAAUCUCUGAUACAUAGGUAACUUCUGGAUCUGCUGGUAGAUGUCACCUUCACUGUCUGUAUGCUUGAAAUGAGAUGUGGCAUUGACUUCUAUAACACUGAACAUUUUUUUUUUCAGGUGCAUUUGUAAUCUGAGAGCCAGAAUCAUGACUGAUCUUUGCAAAAUCCCUGCUUAUUGAAUCAAGUGGUCUUGUGCAUGCUUCGGUGGCCUCUGUAUUUGUCUGUUAUUCUUUUAUGCUGCACUGCUGUUUAUUUGCUCCUUAUGUUUUACAAGUGAGGUCAGGCUGCAAUGUCCUGGAGGAGAUUUUCUUCAGCCUUUUGUUCUUGUAAAAUAACUGGUAUAUAAAGUCACGUUAGCUUUCCAAAGCAGAAGUGGAAGCUAUGGAUGCAGAGCCAGCAGCUGCUGCCACCAAUGACCAGAUGCACAUGUCGUACCCAACUGCAUUUUGGCUCCUGUGAGUGGUUGUUUUAGGUUCUGAUUUGACUUGGCAGUCGCUGGCUCAAAGAGGCGAUACUAAAACAGGAAGAAUGUUUUCACUGCCCUUUGUCAGGAGCUGGGGGGUGAGUUUGGAAGUCAGGCUCCCUCUUUGUCUGCAGAGGUCAGGAACCAAACUCAGAUAAAUUUUGGCAAGAGCCCACUCAGGCCUCUGCCGUGUGUCCUUCAGCCUCUGGCACUCACAGGAGGAGAUACAGCCGCAAUGCACCCAUGUUUUAUGUUAUAUUUUUCCUGCUGGCAGGUAUCCCACUAGUUCCAUUUCCAAAGCAGCUGAUUUUCAGGUGUUUUGCUGUGUACCAGCUUGCACUGGGACACUGAAUUAGCAGUCUGAAGACCACCCAAUAAAUAACAUUUAUUAGCAAUUUAAUUUCAUGCUGUCAGUAGGGGGAACUCUUGCACUGCACUUUAGCUUCUGAAUAAAUAUUGAUAACUAGCUGUCUUUUCUUUUAGAUUAAGUACUCAUUCUCUAAGCAUCCUUCCACAUCUGAUAUCCAUAAUGAUAAGAGGAUGGGUAGGUCACACCAUCCCAGUAAAAUAGCGUAAUAGCAGGGAUGCCUUUUGCUUACUCUCUCUCCUAAUCUUUAAAACAAGGUCUGAGUGGGAGUGGCCGUUGUUAAGGUGAUGUUCUUUCAAUAUCUAUUCAGGGUUGCUUCAAGAGGAAGGAACUCCGGGUAUUCCCCAGGUUAACUGAAGGCAGUUCCUUACCUGAGGGUCAGAACUCUGUGCCCAAACAGAUGGUUGCUGCUGCCUCCUGCUGCAGGGACUGCAGCUGAUGACCAGGGUGGGAGCAGCUGUGCAGACCAUGGCACAGACUGCCUUUGAGGCAGGAGGUUCUCUCAGUGUCUGGAUGCUGUAGAGAGGUGGGGGGAUGUCUGAGGCCUCACAGAACUGAUGGCCAAAUUGUGUGGGCUACUUAAAGGGAAGGAGAAGUCUCAAAUAAUGGAGAAGGAAUUCUGGACACAGUAAUCUUUGAAUCAGAAGUUCACAAAGUUGUUUCUAGGAAUGCAGAGCCAAUUUAUUACUUUGAUCAGUGUGACCAACCUGUAAUCAAGAUUAUCAUCUCUUGUAUUUGGCCUCUGGUCAUUAUUCUCCCUGACUAACCUUUAAUUAGAGUAUGUCUCAUCUAUUUUU
This is a non-coding RNA of Coturnix japonica (Japanese quail), 2402 nucleotides long. The record is from RefSeq and is a predicted model, not a curated record. NCBI's taxonomy places the organism in Eukaryota, Metazoa, Chordata, Aves, Galliformes, Phasianidae.